AUUGAACGCUGGCGGCAUGCUUUACACAUGCAAGUCGAACGGUAACAGGGUGCUUGCACCGCUGACGAGUGGCGAACGGGUGAGUAAUGCGUCGGAACGUGCCGAGUAGUGGGGGAUAACGCAGCGAAAGUUGUGCUAAUACCGCAUACGUACUGAGGUAGAAAGUGGGGGACCUUCGGGCCUCACGCUAUUCGAGCGGCCGACGUCUGAUUAGCUAGUUGGUGGGGUAAAGGCCUACCAAGGCGACGAUCAGUAGCUGGUCUGAGAGGACGAUCAGCCACACUGGGACUGAGACACGGCCCAGACUCCUACGGGAGGCAGCAGUGGGGAAUUUUGGACAAUGGGCGAAAGCCUGAUCCAGCAAUGCCGCGUGUGUGAAGAAGGCCUUCGGGUUGUAAAGCACUUUUGUCCGGAAAGAAAUGGCUCUGGUUAAUACCUGGGGUCGAUGACGGUACCGGAAGAAUAAGGACCGGCUAACUACGUGCCAGCCGCCGCAGUAA
RNAcentral lists this ribosomal RNA (500 nucleotides) under uncultured bacterium. RNAcentral describes it as "partial 16S ribosomal RNA". It matches the Rfam family "Bacterial small subunit ribosomal RNA", at positions 30 to 523 of the family's 1533-position model. The record is from RNAcentral.